AAGUCACUGGGAAGCUGCUUGCAAACCAGUUCUAGAGCAAACCAAAAUAAACAACAAAAAUAUUUAGGAAAGAAGAUCAUUUCGGAUACAGAGAAAAAUGGUUUCCUUCUACUACUAGAGGCCCAUCUAAGUUUUCCUUAUGACCAAGUAUCAGGUCUGAUGUCUGCCCUGGGGAAUGCUACCAUAGCCUCUACCACAGAAGACCGAGCUAGGAGAUCUCAUUCUUUCCACACUACUCUCUCAUCAAUAUUCACAUGUUGAAACUCAGUGCAACCGCUCACCUGCAUUGCUCCAGAAUGCUGGGUAUCUGCUUUUGAUUGUCACACAGACCUCUCACUUUUGAAAUGUUCAAAACUGGACUUGUCAUACACGCUUCAAUCUCCAUCACUAAGAACUCCUCCUCUGAUGUGCCUUAUAUUGGUUUUUCAUACCAUCUUCCAUCACUUCUGAGCCAAGAUCUGAGAAUGUUGUGGAAAUCUCUCUCUUAAUCCACCACUCUGGGAACUAGGAAGAAGAAUUGAAAUGAAUGUACCCGAGAGAAGCUACAUAGAAGAAAUAACAGAGAAUAAUACGGGAGUUAUCGAAUUGCUCAGCGGCAGCAUAUUUCAGUAAGCACCAGCAAAAACAUAUUUCCUGACGGAUCUACUGCUCGUGUGGUUAAUUCAGUCAAAGAAAACGUUUGAUCUGAGUGUUUGACCGACCAGCCAGUGGUUUGACUGAAUUCACAGCCACCGCGGCUGCCCUGGUGGUGCGUGUCCACCCAGGCUUUGUCUGCGUGCCGGCAGUCUCUGAACAGAGAGCACACAGCAUAUGCCAGGUGGCCAUGUGUCUGAGGCAGAGGGAGGGGAGAACAAAGCAGAAAAAGCUUCCAUUUGGACAGAGAUCCUUUAAGCCAUCCGACUGCCAGUAAAAUGUUAAAGAGAGAAGAAAAUGCAACGAUGCCUGAAUACGCUCAACAGUAAACAACUUCAAGCCCAAGAUUCAGAUCACAAAUCUUCCUGUGCUGCUGAUGACAUGCUCAGCUUGAGUGUGGUUGCAGGAGACAAAGAAACCUGCUCCAAGAAGAAAACAGGAGCGGAGAGCCUCACGCCGACUUUAAUCUGUCUCAGAUGCGUGUUUUAGGAAUCUAUUACACCAUAAUCACUAUGUUCUCAUGUCAGAAACCUGUUCUGUUGAAGGAUGACUAGAAAGAGAGAUGCCUCCUGUUGCCUCAGCUUCCAGGAUUCCGGUAUAAAACCGCUGCCAUUUGCACUGUACGCUAAUGACAAGCUGGAUGUUUGCAUGAAAGCCAAUAUGUUCUUACACUGCUUUUUGAGACAAGUAAUAAUCAGUCUGUCAUCAAUGUCAUGCUGCAAUCAGGCUUUGACAAGGUUUGCAAAUAACGUGAAAGGAAUUGCUCAUCCCUGAACACUGCAGAUCAAAACCAGACCUGAACAAAAACUAAGAGUCUGCUUCACGUCAGCUGCACAGUCUCUAGGAACGUGCUGUGCAUAAGCAGCAGCAGCAGCAGCAGCAGCAGAGGGAAAGCCAAGCCUUAAUCUCCACCCCAACCCCUCCAUUGUUCAUUUUUUGCGGAGAAGACCUUUUCUCAGCUACCAAUCCUAGAACUCACUAUUCAAAAAUGUGACGUAGCCACCUAAAAUGCUUAGCCUGAUUGGAAGGACUCUUGGUAUUGUUCUGGGAAAUGUUUGGAAAAACAAACAACACAUCCAUCCUUGGGGUGAUUUGGUCUCUUAACUCAGGGGCUGGAGUAGGCAGAAUUUCUGAUCAAAGUCAGCACUCCUAUCAGUGAGAGGAUUGGGUACAGAAAUUGAACCACCAAUUGCAUCCUCUUCCUUCUUUCUCUCCUCAAUCCUUCCUGUACCCUAGAAGAGGUGAGAUGUGUGUUAUUUAUUCACUGCUCUUCCUGACACUUGAUAAUUUGCAGGCUUUCACAGACAUAAGAAUAAGUUAUAUGUAUAUAACUGUAAGACUGGUCAUAGAAAUUAUGCUCCUAAAACUUUGAGAACAAGAUUCUUAGGAGGGGAAAAAAUUCUUUCAGGGGUGGCAACUGGUCACAGGUCUGCUCAGAGCUUCAAAGCAUGUUAGUACUUCAUGUUUGUACAAGUAGCAGGGCAACCACAUGACAUAUGGUUUUAAGCCUUCCUAAUUUAUGCCUAAGCACGAGCAUAGAUUUGAGAUGUAAAUUAAUUGUUGAUCUUAUUUUGACAUAAGAGAUGGAUUUAGUUCAGUUAUUUUGUUUUUCUUUACAAGAACCCCUGAAAAUCAGGUUCUACUGAGGGACAAAGUUACUUGAAGAUGGUAAUGGAAAGAAAAAAGCAAAUGCAUUUUAAGUGAAAAGUCCCCAUUCAUCUUGUUACAGUCACUUGAGACUAUGGGCCAUAUAGUCUUAAAAAGCACUGUACAGUAAAGUGUCCAUUUAAUAAAUAUAUGUUGAAUACCAUCAUAUUGGCUCAGUACAUGGUAGGUAUUAUGACAUGUAAGCAUAGUGUGUAAAAAUUGAGCCUUAUGUUUCCAAGGAGUUUAUAAACUGGUUAAGGAGAAAAAGAAAAAAUCAAUAA
Molecule: long non-coding RNA, 2561 nt
Organism: Phyllostomus hastatus (greater spear-nosed bat)
Lineage: Eukaryota; Metazoa; Chordata; Mammalia; Chiroptera; Phyllostomidae
Exons: 6
Source: RefSeq, a predicted model, not a curated record